RNAcentral lists this long non-coding RNA (2172 nucleotides) under Gallus gallus (chicken). Its description in RNAcentral is "lncRNA (ENSGALG00010006925.1)". The record is from RNAcentral. Lineage: Eukaryota; Metazoa; Chordata; Aves; Galliformes; Phasianidae.
GAGCUCUCACUUCUCUGGUCAGGGUUCUGUCUUUCCUCUGUUUUUUAUAGUGAUACGAUGGUCAUUUGAAUCAUAGAUACAAAAAAUCUAACUGUUGAUAUAAGGAGAUCAGAACUGCGUGUAUUUCAUGUUGUGCUUUGAAGAAGUAACGUCCUUGCAAAAACCAAAGAGCUCAGAGGAUUUCCUCUGUCAUUUUCCUGCUACCAGCCGUCAUGCGUUGCAUUCUCUUCCAAAAGAGAAGGUGAAAAGGAGCGAGACAAAGAAGAAAGGGAUCACAGUAUCUCAAUUUUAUUUUCUUUCCUGAAAAGUAUUCUCUUUGGACAGACAGUAAUUGUAGUUUCUAAUGACACAAACUUGAAGGGAAACAGAAGAAGACUACAAACAGGUUUAUGGGCCUAUCAGCGGGAAUAUGUGGCUACAAAUUGCUGAGUAAAUGAAACAGCCUGUUGUUUCCUAAGACUGAGAUUGUGAGUGUUAUGCCAAAGUAUUUGAGGAGGAGCUAGAGCACCAGGCGGUGUAAAGAAUACCUGCUGAGCCCUAAUUGGUGCCCACUGUUGUUAAUGGCUUCCUGUGGCUGAGUGUUUACUUGUCAUUUGUUUUGUGCUUUGUUUCCCAGCUACUGGAAGGAAUAAAAAUACUGACCAAAACUUUAUUUUGCUUUUAAGUGUAUCCCUGGACAUCAAGUGCUGCACUGCAAAUUGUCUCACGAUGCUAAGUACCUCAAGUCCAUUCCUCAGACCUGUAAUUAUCUGGUGCGCCUCAAAAGUUACAUUGCAUUGGAUGCUGGUUUUGAAUUUUGAAAAUUAUCUGAUUUAUUACAGUCUGUAUUAUAUGAUUUUAAAAACUGUGUUAUGUGAAUGCCUGGGGAGUUUGUCUACAACAAGACUUUUGUAUGGUUGGACAAACAAACAAACAAAAAAAAACCCAAAACGCCGCCUUAGACAAAAUCAGACUUUUCUUAAACAUCCGUUCUCCAAAAAUAUUCAUUUCUUCCAUAAACCUCAGCUUUUAUGGGAUACAUGUGAGUAGUCUGUGAGAGACGACAAAGGAUGGAACCUUGUGUGCUGAAGGCUUAACGAAGAAGUUCCCACCUGUGAUGCAAAUCUUGGAUUUAGAGAUAUUUUUUUCUGUCCUAUUCCAAAGGGACAUAAGAAACAAACAAACAUACAAAAUGAACCACUAUCACGCUGUCCAGGUUGAUGUUUCAGAUCCUUGCUUGCUCUGUUGUUGUCUCCCUAGCAAGGCUGCCUGCUAGUGCCAACUAUGGUGUGAACACCUCCCUGCUGGGAACAGGAGUGAAACUGCCAUUUUUAAUUGGGACACUGAAUAAUUUGUGGUGAAUAGCCAUGUAUGCUCAUUACUGAUCAAGGAAGAAUUAGAACCAGUGAAAACUUUCUAAUCCCAUAAUCUUGACUCAUCUAUUUAUAUCGCAUUGUACUUUUAUUUUAUUUUACUUUGUUUUGUUUUAUUAUUUUUAGCUGGUCAAGGGGAAGGUUUAACUUCAUUAAACCUAAAAAGCAAUGUGGAUUUCUGGGGAAAAAAUACCUUUUUAGUAUGUUAGAUUUCAGCCACUGUUUGAGAUGCCCUCUCAGACAAAGCAGAUAAUGCAGGAGCAAGUUUCAGUUAAAUAGAGAACAUUCUUGCAUUGUUGAUUACUAAAUAAUAAUCAAGUGUUUUUGGGUUUUGAUUCUCUCUCUUGUUCUCUUAGACUAUUAUUGGAUUGUGGAAUGAACUAUAUAUUUGUGGGAUCUUAAAGAAUCAUCAGGAAUUUGAAGACUUUUGGAUGCUGAUUCCAAAGGGCUGCCACACUUCACAGCUUAAAGAUAAACUUGGGGAUAUAAAAUGAAAAAGAUGGAGGUCGUGAAUGUUUGUUCAUAACUGAAUGUUUAGGGAGUUUAGAUUUAAAAACAAAAGAAAAGGUUUCAAAAACUGGCAGCAACGUGACAGCAAGAAAAAAAAAAGGUGAUGUUCAUGAUUGACUCGGCUGUAGUAUUGAGGUGAUUACUCAAGUACAGUAGUCUUUGUUGGGUUGGGAUGAGAAUUACUGGGACUUUUGGUUGUGAUAAUUUUCAUAAAGCUCACUCAUUUUGAUCCUCUUUAAAGUCAUUGAAAUAUGUUGAUAGUUAAUAUUUUGUUAUCUUGCUCCUUUCUUAAGCAUUCCCUAUUUUUUUU